CACUCCUACGGGAGGCAGCAGUGGGGAAUAUUGGACAAUGGGCGCAAGCCUGAUCCAGCCAUGCCGCGUGAGUGAUGAAGGCCCUAGGGUUGUAAAGCUCUUUCACCGGUGAAGAUAAUGACGGUAACCGGAGAAGAAGCCCCGGCUAACUUCGUGCCAGCAGCCGCGGUAAUACGAAGGGGGCUAGCGUUGUUCGGAUUUACUGGGCGUAAAGCGCACGUAGGCGGACUAUUAAGUCAGGGGUGAAAUCCCGGGGCUCAACCCCGGAACUGCCUUUGAUACUGGUAGUCUUGAGUUCGAGAGAGGUGAGUGGAAUUCCGAGUGUAGAGGUGAAAUUCGUAGAUAUUCGGAGGAACACCAGUGGCGAAGGCGGCUCACUGGCUCGAUACUGACGCUGAGGUGCGAAAGCGUGGGGAGCAAACAGGAUUAGAUACCCCUGUAGUCCC
This 446-nucleotide ribosomal RNA is filed under the name uncultured organism. RNAcentral describes it as "partial 16S ribosomal RNA". It matches the Rfam family "Bacterial small subunit ribosomal RNA", at positions 334 to 797 of the family's 1533-position model. The record is from RNAcentral.